AUUGAACGCUGGCGGCGUGCUUAACACAUGCAAGUCGAGCGGUAACAGGUGUAGCAAUACAUGCUGACGAGCGGCGAACGGGUGAGUAAUGCUUCGGAAUCUUCCUAGUAGUGGGGAAUAACCUGGGGAAACUCAGGCUAAUACCGCAUACGAACUACGGUCGAAAGCAGGGGAUCGCAAGACCUUGCGCUAGUAGAUGAGCCGAAGUCGGAUUGGCUAGUUGGUGAGGUAAAGGCUCACCAAGGCGACGAUCCGUAGCUGGUCUGAGAGGACGACCAGCCACACUGGAACUGAGACACGGUCCAGACUCCUACGGGAGGCAGCAGUGGGGAAUAUUGGACAAUGGGGGCAACCCUGAUCCAGCGACGCCGCGUGUGUGAAGAAGGCCUGCGGGUUGUAAAGCACUUUUAGUGGGGAUGAAAAGCCGAGGGCUAAUACCUUUCGGUCUUGACCUAACCCAAAGAAAAAGCACCGGCUAACUCUGUGCCAGCCGCCGCCGUAA
RNAcentral lists this ribosomal RNA (502 nucleotides) under uncultured bacterium. RNAcentral's name for it is "partial 16S ribosomal RNA". It matches the Rfam family "Bacterial small subunit ribosomal RNA", at positions 30 to 523 of the family's 1533-position model. The record is from RNAcentral.